Molecule: long non-coding RNA, 1547 nt
Filed under: Hordeum vulgare
Lineage: Eukaryota; Viridiplantae; Streptophyta; Magnoliopsida; Poales; Poaceae
Description: long non-coding RNA (HVUL_LNC005599)
Source: RNAcentral
GCCCUAACACACAAAUGACAACAGUCACUGGCUUAACACUCAAAACAGAAAUAUACUGCUCUGGUAAGAAAACUAAAGGGCAUCAAAGGCAAACAUAUUGCUGAAGCAUACCAACAGUGAGCAAUCUUGAAAAGUGUAUUUAAGCAAACAACCAAUGGAGCGUUCCCAGAAAUAACACGAGAAAAAGUUGAUGUUUGCACAGGAAAUAAGUAAAGUAUCUAAUCAUAAGGCCUAAUUUGGUUGACGUGAUCCCUCAGGGAUCCCAGCGUUUUCCCUGGAUGGAAAACCACCGCAUAUGCUUCACCCAGGGUACCCAGCGGCACCAUUUGGACUCCCAACUACCACGGGUUUGUCGGCCCCCACCCCAUCAUUUCAACGGGAGAGAAAUCCACUACUGGCAAGGUCGGGAAAGGAAACCUCGAGCUGGUCGCCUCUCCCUGCGGGCUCUGCCCUUCUCCCCCUAUAUGCCAAAUAGACAUUCCCCGAUGGACUGAUAUUUCCCUUAGGCCUCGUUUGGUUAAGGGGGAUUGGGGAGGUUUUGAGAGGGAGGGAUUUUAGGGGAUUGGGUGAAUCCCUUUGUUCCACCCAAUCCUCUCAAAUCCCCGGGGUUUUGCUUCCACUAGUCCUCCGAAGAGGGUUUUGAAACACAUGAAUAGGAAGGGAUUGAAGGGGAACGGAGGGGAUUGGGCUAAGCAAACCCCUCCUAUCAAAUGGGCGCCCGAGGAUCUGUGGGGUUUCUGGACCCCCCGGGGAUUUUCCUCUCAAAACCUCCCCAAUCCCCCUUAACCAAACGAGGCCCUAGGGGAUCCCUGGUGCUCCUCAAAAUUCCUGUUGUGGGUUUGCUACCCAGGUUUUCCCCUACCUUGCAACCAAAUCAAGCCUAAACUUUCUACACAUUCCAUACACGAUGCUGCCUAUUUGAAAGGUUGCUACAGACGCUAUCAACCCGAUUCAACCACAAGGCAAGACCCAGCGAUUUUGGGCUAUUUCAUCCACUGAAACUAUAUAAUCACUUCUGCUGUUCUGCGGUUCUGCUUGGCACAAUAAAUUACGAGAAAACCUGUAACCGCGGCAUAUAGCAACCCUAUCCAGCAGCCAGACACGUUGAGCUUCGGAACCCGAUCCAGAUCGGGGUCCGAGAUCGCUCAGAGUUUGCGCCCCAGUUCGUCUAUUUCAGAACAUCGGAACGAAAUCCUUGUCCCCAAGCGCUAGGAUCUUCUGCCUGACAAGGGCGACAGUGGAGAUGACCUAGCGGCCCGCCCGUCGCGCAACAGCAAGCCUUACUGCACGCGCGCAUCUGAGAGGCCUAGAGAGGGGAGACGCCGAUCAGACCAGGGUACGGACCCCUCCUCGUCUCCCCGGAACCGAGCUGCUUGCCGUCAGAGGGGAAGGAAGCAGCGGGCGCGGUAACUUCCCGCCGCGGUCAGAGAGAGGGGGGAUAUGGACGAGGAGGAGAGUACGGGGCCGUCCACGAGCAGCCGUCCGGCGCUGCCUUCCGGCCCCGAUUCGAGUGAAGGAAAAGAAAGAGGAGGCCGAGAGGAGAGAGC